Molecule: ribosomal RNA, 801 nt
Filed under: uncultured bacterium
Lineage: Bacteria
Description: bacterial SSU rRNA
Rfam family: Bacterial small subunit ribosomal RNA
Source: RNAcentral
AACUGGUUUAGUGGCGCACGGGUGCGUAACGCGUAUGCAACCUACCUUAAACUGGGGGAUAGCCCGAGGAAACUCGGAUUAAUACCGCAUAAUACUAUUUGAUGGCAUCUGAAGAUAGUUAAAGAUUUAUUGGUUUAAGAUGGGCAUGCGUGCCAUUAGCUAGUUGGAGAGGUAACGGCUCACCAAGGCAACGAUGGCUAGGGGUUCUGAGAGGAUGAUCCCCCACACUGGUACUGAGAUACGGACCAGACUCCUACGGGAGGCAGCAGUAGGGAAUAUUGGGCAAUGGACGGAAGUCUGACCCAGCCAUGCCGCGUGCAGGAAGACGGCCUUCUGGGUUGUAAACUGCUUUUAUAUAGGAAGAAAACACCCAUGCGUGGGAAACUGACGGUACUAUAUGAAUAAGCACCGGCUAACUCCGUGCCAGCAGCCGCGGUAAUACGGAGGGUGCAAGCGUUGUCCGGAUUUAUUGGGUUUAAAGGGUGCGUAGGCGGCCCGUUAAGUCCGUGGUGAAAGCCUCCAGCUCAACUGGAGAACUGCCAUGGAUACUGGCGGGCUUGAGUACAGACGAGGUUGGCGGAAUUGAAGAUGUAGCGGUGAAAUGCAUAGAUAUCUUCAAGAACACCGAUUGCGUAGGCAGCUAACUAGGCUGUAACUGACGCUGAGGCACGAAAGCGUGGGGAGCGAACAGGAUUAGAUACCCUGGUAGUCCACGCCGUAAACGAUGAUUACUCGAUGUUGGCGAUACACAGUCAGCGUCUUAGCGAAAGCGUUAAGUAAUCCACCUGGGGAGUACGCCCG